Molecule: ribosomal RNA, 1296 nt
Filed under: Triticum aestivum (bread wheat)
Lineage: Eukaryota; Viridiplantae; Streptophyta; Magnoliopsida; Poales; Poaceae
Description: partial small subunit ribosomal RNA
Source: RNAcentral
AUGUUCCACCCAGAGCACUCUUCUCAACCGACCAAAUCGUCCUUGGUAAUUGGGAUGCACGGUGUUCCAGUAAAAAAAUCGCCCAUUGAGAGGAGCUGUACUGGUAAGCCUAGCAUGAGCACGAGAGGGGAGAUGUCUCCGCCCCGCCGCCGCCGCCGCACCUCGUCGCCGCCUGCCUCUCUGCCAGACGACGAGGACCUGCUCCAGGAGAUUCUCCUCCGCCUCCCGCCGCGGCCUUCCUCCCUCCCCCGGGCCUCCCUCGUCUGCAAGCUUUGGCGCCGCCUCGUCGCCGAACCCCAGUUCCAGCGCCGCUUCCGCGACCACCACCAUGGCAAGCCUCCUCUCCUUGGCUUCUUCCUCCAAGACAACAUCUCCUGCCCGUUUGUUCCAAUGCUGGAUCCACCAGAUCGCAUCCCCGGCGCUCGCUUCUCCAUGCCUCCCCACAAGCGCUACCGCAUCAUCGACUGCCGCCACGGACUUGUCCUUUUCAGCAAUCAACGGCGGUCGCCCCGCCUAUUUGUGUGGGAGCCCGUCGCCCGCGAGAAGCGCCGCCUCAGCUUCCCACCGGAGCUGGACAACGGCGAGAUGUACAUCAUCAACGGGGCGGUGCUUCGCCCUGCCCGCGGCCGUUCAAGCCAUUUCCAGGUGGCCCUGAUAGCCCAAGACAGAGGAAAUACAAGAGUUUCCGGAUGCCUUUUCUCAUCGGACACCGGUGUAUGGAGCAACAUCAAAACACUGCAGCUGGAUUUGACCAGUAGGUGUACGCCACAGCCCAGUACUUUGAUUGGGAAUUCCCUUUGCUGGUUAAUUGCGGUGCAUCAUGACCAUCCUCAGUAUGCCAUACUUGAGUUUGAUCUGGAUACGCAGAGCCUAGCCAUGACAGAGCUGCCACCACACUUAGAAGCCGGCUAUGACCAAUUAAGGAUUAUUACACCCGGGGAAGAUGGUGGCCUUGGCUUCAUCCAUCUCUCACGUUUUCGCGCGCAGAUAUGGAAGAGAAAGCCUGAUUGUGAUGGUUUGGCUGUAUGGGUGAUUGACAGAGCUAUUGAAUUCAAGGAACUUAGAUCAAAUUGCAAGGGCUACUCCCUCACUUUAGUUGGGUUUGCCGAGGAGAGUAAUGCAAUCCUUGUACUUACAGCUUCUGGCGUCUUCAUGGUAUAUCUCCACUCAAUGGAGUUUAAGAAACUUUCCAACUUGUGGGUCUUCUGUCUCCACUAUCCAUUUGCAUCUUUCUAUCCUGCAGAUAUUGGCAUUGGUGAUGGAGAUGGUGCAGGUGAAGUGUUGGACAAAAUGUGA